UAUCUCUGUAGAGUCUGCAUAUCAAUAAGCGGAGGAAAAGAAACUAACUAGGAUUCCCUUAGUAACGGCGAGUGAAGCGGGAAGAGCUCAAAUUUGAAAUCUUCAAGGUUUUACCUUGACGAAUUGUAGUUUAAAGAAGUGUUUUCUGUUGGUGUUUUGGUAAAAGUUCUUUGGAAUAGGACAUCAUAGAGGGUGAGAAUCCCGUAUUUGACCAUUACUUCCAGCGUUGUGAUACACUUUCAAAGAGUCGGAUUGUUUGGGAAUGCAGUCCAAAAUGGGUGGUAAAUUUCAUCUAAAGCUAAAUAUUGGCGAGAGACCGAUAGCGAACAAGUACCGUGAGGGAAAGAUGAAAAGAACUUUGAAAAGAGAGUUAAACAGUACGUGAAAUUGUCAAAAGGGAAGCGUUUGACACCAGUGUUGUUUUCUCGAAAAUCAAUUAAAAAGUGUUGGAUUUUGUAUUGUUAAGACCUUAUCAGCUUACUGUACUCUUUUCCUGCUCUUUUUAAUGCACUUUUCGUUUAACAAGUCAACAUCAAUUUCUCUUGUUGUAAAAGAGUCAUUGGAAGGUGGCUUUCACUUCGGUGAAAGUGUUUAUAGCCUUUGGACUUCCUGCAAUCGGAGAGACUGAGGUCUGCAGCGUAGAUCCUUCUGGGAUUAGAUUACAGUUAGAUGCUAAGUUAUAGCUUUUUCAUAGACAACUUGUUGACUAUAAUUUAAGUCAUUGUAGCUUACUCGCUGACGCUAUUUUACCUACGCUUAGGAUGUUGAAUCUGUGCGAGACUAC
RNAcentral lists this ribosomal RNA (784 nucleotides) under uncultured Neocallimastigales. RNAcentral describes it as "partial large subunit ribosomal RNA". It matches the Rfam family "Eukaryotic large subunit ribosomal RNA", at positions 24 to 644 of the family's 3401-position model. Lineage: Eukaryota; Fungi; Neocallimastigomycota; Neocallimastigomycetes; Neocallimastigales. The record is from RNAcentral.